RNAcentral lists this ribosomal RNA (649 nucleotides) under uncultured bacterium. RNAcentral describes it as "bacterial SSU rRNA". It matches the Rfam family "Bacterial small subunit ribosomal RNA", at positions 1 to 663 of the family's 1533-position model. The record is from RNAcentral.
AAUUCGAUUGAGUUUGAUCCUGGCUCAGGACGAACGCUGGCGGCGUGCUUAACACAUGCAAGUCGAGCGAGGCCCCGCCUUCGGGAGGGUGCCCUAGCGGCGAACGGGUGAGUAACACGUGGGCAACCUGCCCCUAGCACUGGGAUAACUCCGGGAAACCGGGGCUAAUACCGGAUAUGACCUUCGAGGGCAUCCUCUUUGGUGUAAAGGAUUCUGGCUAGGGAUGGGCUCGCGGCCUAUCAGCUUGUUGGUGGGGUAAUGGCCUACCAAGGCGACGACGGGUAGCCGGCCUGAGAGGGCGACCGGCCACACUGGGACUGAGACACGGCCCAGACUCCUACGGGAGGCAGCAGUGGGGAAUAUUGCACAAUGGGCGAAAGCCUGAUGCAGCGACGCCGCGUGAGGGAUGACUGCCUUCGGGUUGUAAACCUCUUUCAGCAGGGACGAAGCGAAAGUGACGGUACCUGCAGAAGAAGCACCGGCCAACUACGUGCCAGCAGCCGCGGUAAUACGUAGGGUGCAAGCGUUGUCCGGAAUUAUUGGGCGUAAAGAGCUCGUAGGCGGUUUGUCGCGUCGGCUAUGAAAACCUGGGGCUCAACCCCGGGCCUGCAGCCGAUACGGGCAAACUAGAAUUCGGUAGGGGAGACUG